Molecule: ribosomal RNA, 458 nt
Filed under: uncultured bacterium
Lineage: Bacteria
Description: partial 16S ribosomal RNA
Rfam family: Bacterial small subunit ribosomal RNA
Source: RNAcentral
CCUACGGGAGGCAGCAGUGAGGAAUAUUGGUCAAUGGGCGAGAGCCUGAACCAGCCAAGUUGCGUGAGGGAGUACUGCCCUAUGGGUUGUAAACCUCUUUUGUCGGGGAGCAAAAGCCGGACGUGUCCGGCUGUGAGAGUACCCGAAGAAAAAGCAUCGGCUAACUCCGUGCCAGCAGCCGCGGUAAUACGGAGGAUGCGAGCGGUAUCCGGAUUUAUUGGGUUUAAAGGGUGCGCAGGCGGAUUUUUAAGUCAGCGGUAAAAUCGUGGGGCUCAACCCCCUCCAGCCGUUGAAACUGGGGAUCUAGAGUGUGCGAGAGGUAUGCGGAAUGGGUGGUGUAGCGGUGAAAUGCAUAGAUAUCACGCAGAACCCCGAUUGCGAAGGCAGCAUACCGGUGCACAACUGACGCUCAGGCACGAAAGCGUGGGUAUCGAACAGGAUUAGAUACCCUAGUAGUC